GCCCGAUUAACUCAGUUGGUCAGAGUGUCGUACUAAUACAAUGAGCUUCCCGCUCCCUGUAUCUGGUCAUGCGAAAGUCGACAGUUCAAGCCUGUCAUUGGGCA
This is a transfer RNA of 104 nucleotides. It matches the Rfam family "tRNA". From Rfam's summary of the family: Transfer RNA (tRNA) molecules are approximately 80 nucleotides in length. Their secondary structure includes four short double-helical elements and three loops (D, anti-codon, and T loops).